This 22-nucleotide microRNA is filed under the name Salmo salar (Atlantic salmon). RNAcentral describes it as "ssa-miR-150-3p". Its record names the gene ssa-miR-150-3p. The record is from miRBase by way of RNAcentral. Lineage: Eukaryota; Metazoa; Chordata; Actinopteri; Salmoniformes; Salmonidae.
CUGGGCAUGGUUUGGGGGGGGC